Molecule: ribosomal RNA, 440 nt
Filed under: uncultured bacterium
Lineage: Bacteria
Description: partial 16S ribosomal RNA
Rfam family: Bacterial small subunit ribosomal RNA
Source: RNAcentral
CCUACGGGAGGCAGCAGUGGGGGAUAUUGCACAAUGGGGGGAACCCUGAUGCAGCGACGCCGCGUGGGUGAAGAAGCGCCUCGGCGCGUAAAGCCCUGUCAGCAGGGAAGAAAAUGACGGUACCUGAAGAAGAAGCCCCGGCUAACUACGUGCCAGCAGCCGCGGUAAUACGUAGGGGGCCAGCGUUAUCCGGAUUUACUGGGUGGAAAGGGGGCGCAGACGGCGAUGCAAGCCAGGAGUGAAAGCCCGGGGCCCAACCCCGGGACUGCGCUUGGAACUGCGUGGCUGGAGUGCAGGAGGGGCAGGCGGAAGUCCUGGUGUAGCGGUGAAAUGCGUAGAUAUCAGGAGGAACACCGGUGGCGAAGGCGGCCUGCUGGACUGCAACUGACGUUGAGGCCCGAAAGCGUGGGGAGCAAACAGGAUUAGAUACCCCUGUAGUC